Molecule: ribosomal RNA, 376 nt
Filed under: uncultured bacterium
Lineage: Bacteria
Description: bacterial SSU rRNA
Rfam family: Bacterial small subunit ribosomal RNA
Source: RNAcentral
GACAGAGGGUGCAAACGUUGCUCGGAAUUACUGGGCGUAAAGCGCGUGUAGGUGGAUUGGUGUGUCAGAUGUGAAAUCCCUGGGCUCAACCCAGGAACUGCACCUGAAACUACCAGUCUUGAGUGGUGGAGAGGGAAGUGGAAUUCCUGGUGUAGAGGUGAAAUUCGUAGAUAUCAGGAGGAACACCAGUGGCGAAGGCGGCUUCCUGGACACCAACUGACGCUGAGACGCGAAAGCGUGGGGAGCAAACAGGAUUAGAUACCCUGGUAGUCCACGCCGUAAACGAUGGGCACUAGGUGUCGCAGGUUUUGACCCCUGCGGUGCCGUAGCAAACGCGUUAAGUGCCCCGCCUGGGGAGUACGGCCGCAAGGCUAAA